RNAcentral lists this ribosomal RNA (328 nucleotides) under uncultured eukaryote. RNAcentral's name for it is "partial 18S ribosomal RNA". It matches the Rfam family "Eukaryotic small subunit ribosomal RNA", at positions 1470 to 1796 of the family's 1831-position model. The record is from RNAcentral.
CCCUUAGAUGUUCUGGGCCGCACGCGCGCUACACUGAUGCAUUCAACGAGUCUAAAACCUGCUCUGAUAGGGGUGGGUAAUCUUUUGAAUGUGCAUCGUGAUUGGGAUAGAUGAUUGCAAUUUUUCAUCUUCAACGAGGAAUGCCUAGUAAACGCAAGUCAUCAGCUUGCAUUGAUUACGUCCCCGCCCUUUGUACGCACCGCCCGUCGCUCCUACCGAUUGAGUGGUCCGGUGAGGCUUUGGGAUCUGAGCAAAGAGAGCGUUUCGCUCGUUUUGCCCGGAAAACUCAGUCGAACCUUAUCAUUUAGAGGAAGGAGAAGUCGUAACA